This 185-nucleotide unclassified non-coding RNA is filed under the name soil metagenome. RNAcentral's name for it is "partial internal transcribed spacer 1". The record is from RNAcentral.
ACGAGUUUGAAAAGGGUUGUAGCUGGCCUUCCGAGGCAUGUGCACGCCCCUGCUCAUCCACUCUACACCUGUGCACUUACUGUGGGCCACGAAACGCUGUGCUUAACGCGCGGUGGGUCUGGUUCACGUCUCAUUACAAACGCUUUAGUAUCAGAAUGUAACUUGCGAUAUAACGCAUCUUAAUA